CUGGAAUUGCUAGUAAUGGCAGGUCAGCAUACUGCCGUGAAUACGUUCCCGGGCCUUGUACACACCGCCCGUCACACCAUGAGAGUUGGGAAUACCCGAAGCCUGUGAGCUAACUGUAAAGAGGCAGCAGUCGAAGGUAGAAUCAAUGAUUGGGUGAAGUCGUAACAAGGUAAC
This 174-nucleotide ribosomal RNA is filed under the name uncultured bacterium. RNAcentral's name for it is "partial 16S ribosomal RNA". It matches the Rfam family "Bacterial small subunit ribosomal RNA", at positions 1326 to 1500 of the family's 1533-position model. The record is from RNAcentral.